Sapajus apella (tufted capuchin) is the source of this 739-nucleotide long non-coding RNA. RefSeq lists it as uncharacterized. NCBI's taxonomy places the organism in Eukaryota, Metazoa, Chordata, Mammalia, Primates, Cebidae. The transcript is spliced from 2 exons. The record is from RefSeq and is a predicted model, not a curated record.
UCUCAGUGUGGUUUUCCCUGACGUUCUCGUGAGGAUUAGAGCUUUGGAGAAGCUUUCGUUUACCUGACAGUAAAUCCCUACAUGUCUCCUCUGGACACCACAGGUCAAACCUUCCAAGAGACAACAAUCGUCAAAACCUCCUCACCAUGACAGCAAGCGAGGAGGAAGGACCCUGAAGACCCUCAGUGCCUCUUUUCAUAAUGAAGUAGCGACAGAGAAUGACCUCUGCCCCAUCUCCCAAAAGAUGUCUGGGUCCCAACUCCUUGAGGGAGAAAUGUAAGAAUAGACAGUCAGAUAUGAGCAGGCAUGAGGGAGAGGUAUUCAUGUUGGAAAGAACCCCACAGAACACCUCUUAGGAUGCCCAGUACUCACUCCAUGGUUGAACUGUCAGAAUGCUGUUAACUAGAUCCUGAUAAGGAAAAAGGCAAAAGGGGAAUUCCUGAGAGCUGAGCAGGCACAAUGAGUACAAAAUUGACUGCUCUACCUUCCCCGGGUGGUGGUAAGAAGCAGUGCCACCAUUAGAUAGGAUUCGUAUUGAUCACUGGUUCCCAUGCGUGUGCAUUAAGCACAGUAACAGAGGAUCCCCCAAAGCUUGGUGAGAACUGGGUAAAGAAAGAACUGAGGCAAUAGAAGAUCAUAAUGCACAAUGUCUUCGAUGUGUUUCCAGCAGGGUCAGCCCACUUCUCUCUCUUAGAAUGUACUUGUACUUCCCCAAUAAAACUUUUGCUUGCUUUACAAA